Molecule: non-coding RNA, 306 nt
Organism: Pelobates cultripes (western spadefoot toad)
Lineage: Eukaryota; Metazoa; Chordata; Amphibia; Anura; Pelobatidae
Source: the annotation of a GenBank genome assembly
GUAGUGGAACAUAGAAACAUAGAAUGUGACGGCAGAUAAGAACCAUUCGGCCCAUCUAGUCUGCCCAAUUUUCUAAAUACCCACAUUAGGUCCCUAGCCUUAUCUUAGAGUUAGGCUAGCCUUAUGCCUAUCCCAUGCAUGCUUAAACUCCGUUACUGUGUUAACCUCUACCACUUCAGCUGGAAGGCUAUUCCAUGCAUCCACUAUCCUCUCUGUAAAGAAAUACUUCCUGAUAUUAUUUUUAAACCUUUGCCCCUCUAAUUUAAGACUAGGUCCUCUUGUUGUGAUAGUUUUUCUUCUUUUAAA